GGCAAUCAUGUUUGUGGCGCCUUCCAUGACGCUUUUUUGUCUUCUGUUUAGAUUGACCACUUUUACCAUAUCCCUGACUUGAUGCUCCAGCAUCCUCCAUUUGAGUGCCUUCAGCACCAUUGGAACCUCUUGCUUGUUCAGUGAAUAAACCAGCUGCAGUCCAAUACUUCAUAAAAUUUUUCUUCACCCGUCUCAUGAGGUCCAAUAUAUAGUCACCUUUAUUGUUGUACUUAUAACAGUUGUCCCAAAUGUAUUGAACAUCUUUAUGAACAUCC
Molecule: unclassified non-coding RNA, 275 nt
Filed under: Hevea brasiliensis (rubber tree)
Lineage: Eukaryota; Viridiplantae; Streptophyta; Magnoliopsida; Malpighiales; Euphorbiaceae
Source: RNAcentral